GCCACGGUGGUCUAGCGGUUAGAACGCUGGCCUUGUAAUCCUGGGGUCCCGGGUUCGAUUCCCGGUGGUGCCC
Molecule: non-coding RNA, 73 nt
Organism: Zootermopsis nevadensis
Lineage: Eukaryota; Metazoa; Arthropoda; Insecta; Blattodea; Termopsidae
Source: Rfam